Molecule: transfer RNA, 128 nt
Filed under: Caudoviricetes sp.
Lineage: Duplodnaviria; Heunggongvirae; Uroviricota; Caudoviricetes
Description: tRNA-Ile
Rfam family: tRNA
About the family: Transfer RNA (tRNA) molecules are approximately 80 nucleotides in length. Their secondary structure includes four short double-helical elements and three loops (D, anti-codon, and T loops).
Source: RNAcentral
CCUACUGUAGCUCAGCGGUCAAGAGCCGUCGACUUAUGGAAGAGUCAUGUUAGAUGGAAUGAAGGGGCAGAACCUUCCUCUUCUCCCAAAUCGACAGGUCGUCAGUUCAAAUCUGACCAGUAGGCCCA